Molecule: ribosomal RNA, 198 nt
Filed under: Candidatus Moraniibacteriota bacterium
Lineage: Bacteria; Candidatus Moraniibacteriota
Description: partial 16S ribosomal RNA
Rfam family: Bacterial small subunit ribosomal RNA
Source: RNAcentral
AAUCGCUAGUAAUCGUAGAUCAGAAUGCUACGGUGAAUACGUUCUCGGAUCUUGUACUCACCGCCCGUCACACCAAGAGAGUCGGUAAUACCCGAAGCUCCUGUCUUAUAGCAGGAACCACGGUGGGAUCGAUAAUAAGGGUGAAGUCGUAACAAGGCAUCGGUAGCGGAAGCUGUCGAUGGAUCACCUCCUUUCUAG